Molecule: long non-coding RNA, 893 nt
Organism: Lotus japonicus
Lineage: Eukaryota; Viridiplantae; Streptophyta; Magnoliopsida; Fabales; Fabaceae
Exons: 3
Source: RefSeq, a predicted model, not a curated record
AGUGGGGUGCCAAACCCAACUCCCCCUCAUCCCGUACCUCCUCUCGCUAGAUUCGCGUUCAUAGUUGGAUGUUACAACCCUACGAAGCUCAUCUAUCAUCUAUCAUCCAUUGAACCUUUGGAAACAACUGUGGCUUCUGCUUUACAGGGUAAAAAAGUUGAGGCAAUUCUCAGAAGGCGAUGAUCUCUAAAUUCACGGCUGAGCUUCGUGAAGGUUGCAUCCAACAACGACAGCUAUUGAUGUCUUCUCAGGUAUGAAGAGCAUGAUAUCAUUGUGCGGAGAAGCAAUUCUACAAGGCACGAAGAGUAUGAUAUCAUUGUGCAGCCUCUUUUUAUUAGUCAUGAAUGAUGGCUGCUAAUUUUAAACUAUAAGAAGAAUAGGUAAUACCGGGUGAAAAAGCUUCCCACUAAUUUUCCUUAGAACUUUCUACAUUAAUUCAAGGUCAAAUUAUACUGUGUGUGUGAGAAGGCAGAUGAACUUCUAGAUUUUGUAGUAUGUGUCUGUCUAUAGUAGUAUUUCAUAAUUCUGAAGUAACAUGUAUGAAUUUUUCAUCCAUCAAAAGAAAAAACAGAAUUGUUUUUUGUAAUAGCUACUAGCUAGCUAUUAUGGAUAGUUUAUCUCUAACAAUUAUUGUAGUACUAUACCAAAGUGCAGUGGACAUAGAGAUUAAAUUAGUCCAUAAGUCUGUAAUGACAUUCUGGAUUCAGUGUGGUAUUGUGGUUCAAUUUCAGUUAUGGAGAAUCUUCAAGUAGGGGAUGACUUGCAGGCGAAGUGAUUGCUCCACUUCAUUGUCUGAAUGUAAAAUUAAUUCUUGAACAUUUCUUAAAUGCUUAGUGUACUGACUCUAUAGAUUUUUAAUACUUGCUUAUUUUAAAUAAUGUCUAAUUUCCACA